UACUCCCGCAUCCCUCGCCUCCCACAUCUGGGCUCCUGGCCACCGGUUAGGGAGGCGCCGCCGGCGUGGGGAGGAGGCAGCGACGUCCUGGCGACGGCGUCGACGAGGGGCCGACGCUAGCAUGGAGGGGAGGCGGCGGCGACGUCCUGGCGACGGCAUCGACGAGGGUCGGCGCCGGCUGGAGAGGAGGUAGAGCGAGGCCGGAUCCGUUUACGCUUAGGGUUCGUGCUCGGCGGAUAGUGGCGGCGGACGACUACGGCUUCGGCUGCGGCCGCCCCGUUCUCGGGCGGCGGACGACUGCGGCUGCGCGGGCGGACAACUACGACUGCACGGCCGCGGCUGCGGCCGGCCCGUGCUCGGUGGACAACGGCCGCGGACGACUCCGUCGCCGGCUUGAGCCCGGCAACAGGGCGCUGUGCGUGGCCUCUGUCGGCAGCAUCCGGGGUUUCCGCCAUCGCCAUGCCUAGGUGGUUUCUGGUUUUGGAGAUGGUGAAACUUUGUGAUGUUGAUCUGUUACAUUAGGCAGAAUGUCACAUUGAUGUUCAUUAUCUGCUCACCGAAUUGAAAUUUGCCAGGACCUAAGUAUUCUGUAGAGCAUAAGGAAUCAAGCGCCAUGUUAGUGACUGAAAUCACACCGGUGAAGCUGCAAAACACCAUUAGGCCCACAAUACUUCGAGAACCUGGAUGAUUCACUAGAGUGAAUGAGCUUUAAGAUAAAUCACCUACAGAGUGGAUAUGUGAUUUAAUUAUCCUGUCACUUUCUUUAAGCACUUGCAAUACAUUGUUUAUUAACUGUUUGAGAGGUUGGUGUCAUAGUUUGCAGAUAGUUGUGUGAUGCUGCUUUGAACUAUGAGCAGUUGCUUACAAAAAUUUGAACUGUUCUGUUAUUGUUUCCUGCCUUGUUUCUUCUUCUUUUUUUUUUUGGCAUAUCAACCUCGAGACGACGUCAAACAGACAUGGCAGCUGCAAGCAUUUCUCCAUCUGCAUUCCUUGCUUGAAAUAAAAAGAA
Molecule: long non-coding RNA, 1009 nt
Organism: Oryza brachyantha (malo sina)
Lineage: Eukaryota; Viridiplantae; Streptophyta; Magnoliopsida; Poales; Poaceae
Exons: 3
Source: RefSeq, a predicted model, not a curated record